This 201-nucleotide non-coding RNA is filed under the name Desulfofustis glycolicus. RNAcentral also lists the same sequence under 1 other name. The record is from RNAcentral. Lineage: Bacteria; Pseudomonadati; Thermodesulfobacteriota; Desulfobulbia; Desulfobulbales; Desulfocapsaceae.
AGCCGACAGAGCAUGCCAGGUGCCGGGUAUGGGAUCCGGUGAAAAGGGAACAUGGUGAAAAUCCAUGACGUUGGGCCGGCGCUGUAAGCGGGGACGAAGGAGCAAGAGACCACUGUUGUACCGAUCGAUAACGGGACAACGGGAAGGUGCUCCGGAGGGUGAUCCGUAAGUCAGAAGACCUGCCUGGCUGCACGUACACUC